UACGGAGGGUGCAAGCGUUAAUCGGAAUUACUGGGCGUAAAGCGCGCGUAGGUGGCUUGAUAAGCCGGUUGUGAAAGCCCCGGGCUCAACCUGGGAACGGCAUCCGGAACUGUCAAGCUAGAGUACAGGAGAGGAAGGUAGAAUUCCCGGUGUAGCGGUGAAAUGCGUAGAGAUCGGGAGGAAUACCAGUGGCGAAGGCGGCCUUCUGGACUGAUACUGACACUGAGGUGCGAAAGCGUGGGUAGCAAACAGG
This 253-nucleotide unclassified non-coding RNA is filed under the name uncultured Halomonadaceae bacterium. Its description in RNAcentral is "contains 16S-23S intergenic spacer region". It matches the Rfam family "Bacterial small subunit ribosomal RNA", at positions 524 to 776 of the family's 1533-position model. Lineage: Bacteria; Pseudomonadati; Pseudomonadota; Gammaproteobacteria; Oceanospirillales; Halomonadaceae. The record is from RNAcentral.